RNAcentral lists this ribosomal RNA (311 nucleotides) under uncultured bacterium. RNAcentral describes it as "bacterial SSU rRNA". It matches the Rfam family "Bacterial small subunit ribosomal RNA", at positions 32 to 352 of the family's 1533-position model. The record is from RNAcentral.
AAUCAACGCUGGCGGCGUGCCUAACACAUGCAAGUCGCACGAGAAAGGGAUUUCGGUCCUGAGUAAAGUGGCGCACGGGUGAGUAACACGUGACUAAUCUAUCCUCGAGUGGGGAAUAACCUAGGGAACCUGGGCUAAUACCGCAUAACACUUACGAGUCAAAGCAGCAAUGCGCUUGGGGAGGAGGUCGCGGCAGAUUAGUUAGUUGGCGGGGUAAGUGGCCCACCAAGACGAUGAUCUGUAUCCGGCCUGAGAGGGCGGCACGGACACACUGGAACUGAAACACGGUCCAGACUCCUACGGGAGGCAAC